AGCUGGGCCUCUGUGGACUGAGACCCCUGAAACCCUGACCCCCAGCUAACCCUCUCCUCUACAGCUGUUCUGGUCAGUCAGCCCCUCUAGUCACAGCACAGACAAGCUGGCUAACACAGGGGGCGGAGUGAAGACUACUAGGGCACAUGGCCAGCAGAGGAGUGGCCAGAGGACACGGGGCUGAGGAUGAGAGCUGAUAGGGGGGCCACAGGGCUCUUCUCCAUGAAUGGAAUCCCUCAGGAAAGGAAGCCACAACCGUCGUCUGUCUUUCACUUCCUGAAAGUCCGAGGCGAUGGCCCCAAAUGGCCCUUAGCGCUCUCGUUUCCAGCGUGCCAAGCCGUGGUACUCAGGGGUCUGCCAGGUUGGGGACAGUCACGGGAGCCCCAUAGAGGCAGGGCAGAGGCAGUGUCUGAGAGGAGGUGGGUCCCCGAGCUGAGUAGUGCUGCCGCCUGAGACCCACUCCCCCAGUGGGCAGCACUUGGGCAGCCGUGCUCAGCAUGCCGGGGCCUCCGCAGCGGGCGCCAGGUCCCGUCUUCCGCCCUCAGUGCCCAGGACCAACUGACCUGAAAACUGACCCUUGACAAAUGAAAUACCGAAGUACAGGAGCCAGCGGC
Molecule: long non-coding RNA, 614 nt
Filed under: Marmota monax (woodchuck)
Lineage: Eukaryota; Metazoa; Chordata; Mammalia; Rodentia; Sciuridae
Source: RNAcentral